This 542-nucleotide long non-coding RNA is filed under the name Mytilus galloprovincialis (Mediterranean mussel). Lineage: Eukaryota; Metazoa; Mollusca; Bivalvia; Mytilida; Mytilidae. The record is from RNAcentral.
GGCCGUAUCCAGCUGAGCUCAGCUGAGCAAUUUAUUUAGUUGGCAUUCAAAGAUAUUGAGCUUAUAUUUUGUUUAUGAUUUCCAAAUCAGAUGUUGCAAUGGGUUGAUUAUUUGCAGUUUAUUAUUCUUAUGACGACCAUGAUACUUACUAUAUGUAUCAAACUAAUGACCGCUUUCAGUCAUCCAUGCUGAUAUUGUGUUGGUAUUGAGUGAUGUACCAUACAAAUUUGGUUGUAGUUUAAAAAUUUUGAGUAUACAUGGUACUACUUGGUUUCGGCAUGCACUUGUGGUGUUCAGUUAACUGGCCACAUAUGUUGCGCACAAUAUACAAAUUAGGAGAUAGAUGGGUCAUUGAGGCAAUUUUCUACCAGAGACGUAAACAGCUAUGGGUUAACUGUAAAACAGAUUUUAAGACCAGUGUGUUCACAUGGACACAGUUGCAAACAGCAGGUCUCAGCUGUCUGUAUCCAAAAAAUGAUAAGAAUGAUAUGAUUGCCAAUCUGCUGACCUUUUCCUUAUUUUCAUGGUUCACUGAAAACAUC